CCCAUUGACAAUGCCGUUGCAGAAAAACUCCCUAUAAGAAGCACCUUUCUUCCUAGUUUAUCCAUCAAAAGCAUUGCAACUAUUGAACCCAACAAGUUGCAAAUUCCAACACAUAUGUUUGCAAAAUCGGAAGGAACACCAGUGCUUUUAAAGACUGUUGAUGAGUAAUAGAAUAUGGCAUUUGUGCCAGAUAGCUGUUGUAAGGCAAAAAGUGCAGACCCAAUGAAAACCACUUUAAAAUGCCGACCAUAGAGCAACUCUGAUAAUUUUACCUUGUCAGCAUCAUCUCCUCGGUCUAAAUUUGACAAUUCAGCCAUUGCAGAUUUGACAUGCGAUGCUCCUAAAAGCUUCUCAAACUCAGUCUCAGCUUCAGCACCUCUUCCCCU
RNAcentral lists this unclassified non-coding RNA (386 nucleotides) under Hevea brasiliensis (rubber tree). Lineage: Eukaryota; Viridiplantae; Streptophyta; Magnoliopsida; Malpighiales; Euphorbiaceae. The record is from RNAcentral.